RNAcentral lists this long non-coding RNA (488 nucleotides) under Dicentrarchus labrax (European seabass). Its description in RNAcentral is "lncRNA (ENSDLAG00005026484.1)". The record is from RNAcentral. Lineage: Eukaryota; Metazoa; Chordata; Actinopteri; Moronidae.
UAUGCAUUGGUAUUAGUAUGAAUUAUUACACUUUUAUACCAGGUUAAGAAAACAGAGAAUUUACUAUUUAAUAUUUCAUCUGUUUCCCUCGUUAACACAAUUUUUCCUCAACAGAUUCUUGUUCUGAGAUGAAAGCACAAGUUCUUCUUCCGCCUAAACUGACAGUGAAUCCAUCGGUGAUCACAGACACAGACUCAGUCACAUUGAACUGUCAGCCUCCACCAUCUGUUUCUGUGUCUCAGUGUUAUUUCAGCACUGUAAGAGGAGGACCGGCCACAAGCUUCUCUUGUCUGCAGACACUGACAGGAACUGAACUGCUCAAGAUGUCAUAUCAAAGUUCACCUGCUGAGGUUGAAGUGAUGUGUUUUUAUACUGUAAAGCUUGGAGAAAAAGAUUCUCCAUCUCCAUACAGUGGCACUUCCCGCAUUACCAUACACGGUGAGUAAAUGCUUUUUUGAUUUGGUAUCAUAACAAGAAAAGGGGAGAAG